UCUCAUUUUUCCCGGGCUUUCGGUCGGCGUUUUCCUUUUGUCGCGGGUUUGGGCGCGCAUCGAACUCUGAAGGGUCGGGAAGGCCUGUCGUUGGAAUGUGGUUGAGUUCCAGGGAGUGUACAGGCUGGAGGAUGGGACAAGACCUAUCUCUGUAUCGAUCAAGCACGGCGUUGGUGUUCCAGCUCAUCACCAAUCCUAAGGAAUUCAAGUGCCUCCCAGGAUGAAUACAGGUUGUCUUGAUGGUGAUACAUUCAUCUGUCUUAAGAUCCCUGCUGAUCUGCUCAUGGUCAAACUCAUGGAAAGAGUUGAGAGUGGUGAGUACUUGUAACCUUGGUUAUAACUUGUCUCCAGUGCCAGUGAGGAGAGCAAGCAUCCUGUCUUAACCCCUGUCCUAGCCCCAGAGCCAGUAAUGGUGAACCCACUGGGGCUAACAGGGAGAGAGGAUGAAAACAUGUUCCGUAAGGAACUGUCUGAGGUACAGCAACUUCCAGUGGGUAGCAUUUGUUUAGCUUCCCUUGGCUUACAUAUUAGCUGGGAUCCUUUUGGUUUUUUAAGGUACUCUACUGAUUUCAUGAUCUUCUCAUUCAGGGGCACCUUGUUCCUGCAUCCUCAAAGGAGCAUCUUGUUCCUCCAUUUAAGCUUCCAGAGUUAAAAGGUUAGUUGAUUAAUGUCACCAUAAUAUAUGCCACCAAGUAAGCAGUUUCUGUGAUGAAUCAAACUAGCUCACUAUGAACUAACAAUGAAAAGAUAUGAACACCUGAGAAACUGGAGAACAGAGCAGUGGGAUACUGUCUGCUAGGAACUUAAUAUCACUUACAGUUUUGUCCUUUCCUAGGUACCUGUACCAUUUAGCGGCUUGUUCACUCAAAGGUGAGUGAUUUAUAUGUUGGUGCAUACCGUGUACUGAGGGAGAAAAUGCCUUUUUAGGCAUCUACACAUGAUGACUUACAUGGAAUCUCGUUCGGCUGAUGAUUUGCUGUUGAGACUCGGAAAUCUGAUUUUUUUUUUCUUUUAAGAACUUAAGUGGGAACAAAUUUUAAUGUAGGAAGUAAGCAUUACUGACUCAUUCUUGUUUUGUUUUAGAUCCAUCUUGUCUGGAGCCUGAGGAUGAUUGGAGGUGAAAGGUGUAAGCCAUACUCUGCUCAACUCCAGUCUGAAACUAAGGUUAAAAGAACACGUACUUAACACACGGGUAAGUAAGUAUCCAUUCACGUACUUGUGUUAAAUAUCAGACUAACUAUAUAAAUACAAUGUUCUAAGUCCGUUUUAGUAAGAACCCUAAACUGUUCUUUUUCUCUGCAGGAAUCCAACUCUUGGAGGACAUCAGAAGUGGAAUUUUCUUAUACAACCUACCUAUUCAAAUUAGCAUAUAAUCUUUCUAGCCUUUCUAAAUAAAUAAAGGGAUUUUUUUGUA
Molecule: long non-coding RNA, 1414 nt
Filed under: Sus scrofa (pig)
Lineage: Eukaryota; Metazoa; Chordata; Mammalia; Artiodactyla; Suidae
Source: RNAcentral